GACGAACGCUGGCGGCGUGCUUAACACAUGCAAGUCGAACGGUGAAGCGCCUUCCUUUUUGGUGGGUGUGGAUGAGUGGCGAACGGGUGAGUAACACGUGAGUAACCUGCCCCCUUCUUCUGGAUAACCGCAUGAAAGUGUGGCUAAUACGGGAUAUUCUGGGUCUGUCGCAUGAUGGGUCUGGGAAAGAUAUUGUUUCGGUGGGGGAUGGGCUCGCGGCCUAUCAGCUUGUUGGUGGGGUGAUGGCCUACCAAGGCGGUGACGGGUAGCCGGCCUGAGAGGGUGGACGGUCACACUGGGACUGAGACACGGCCCAGACUCCUACGGGAGGCAGCAGUGGGGAAUAUUGCACAAUGGGCGCAAGCCUGAUGCAGCGACGCCGCGUGAGGGAUGGAGGCCUUCGGGUUGUGAACCUCUUUCGCCAGUGAAGCAGGCCUGCCCCGUUUGUGGGUGGGUUGACGGUAGCUGGAUAAGAAGCGCCGGCUAACUACGUG
This 494-nucleotide ribosomal RNA is filed under the name uncultured bacterium. Its description in RNAcentral is "partial 16S ribosomal RNA". It matches the Rfam family "Bacterial small subunit ribosomal RNA", at positions 28 to 507 of the family's 1533-position model. The record is from RNAcentral.